ACUCCUACGGGAGGCAGCAGUGAGGAAUAUUGGUCAAUGAGCGAAAGCUUGAACCAGCCAAGUCGCGUGAAGGAUGAAUGUCCUAAGGAUUGUAAACUUCUUUUAUACAGGAAUAAAGUUAGCCACGUGUGGUUAUUUGCAUGUACUGUAUGAAUAAGGAUCGGCUAACUCUGUGCCAGCAGCCGCGGUAAU
Molecule: ribosomal RNA, 192 nt
Filed under: uncultured bacterium
Lineage: Bacteria
Description: partial 16S ribosomal RNA
Rfam family: Bacterial small subunit ribosomal RNA
Source: RNAcentral